RNAcentral lists this ribosomal RNA (530 nucleotides) under uncultured bacterium. Its description in RNAcentral is "bacterial SSU rRNA". It matches the Rfam family "Bacterial small subunit ribosomal RNA", at positions 58 to 566 of the family's 1533-position model. The record is from RNAcentral.
CAAGUCGAACGAAACUUCUUUAUCACCGAGUGCUUGCACUCACCGAUAAAGAGUUGAGUGGCGAACGGGUGAGUAACACGUGGGCAACCUGCCCAAAAGAGGGGGAUAACACUUGGAAACAGGUGCUAAUACCGCAUAACCAUAGUUACCGCAUGGUAACUAUGUAAAAGGUGGCUAUGCUACCGCUUUUGGAUGGGCCCGCGGCGCAUUAGCUAGUUGGUGAGGUAAAGGCUUACCAAGGCAAUGAUGCGUAGCCGAACUGAGAGGUUGAUCGGCCACAUUGGGACUGAGACACGGCCCAAACUCCUACGGGAGGCAGCAGUGGGGAAUUUUCCGCAAUGGGCGAAAGCCUGACGGAGCAAGACCGCGUGGGGGAAGAAGGCUCUUGGGUUGUAAACCCCUUUUCUCUGGGAAGAAAGUUGUGAAAGCAACCUGACGGUACCAGAGGAAUCAGCAUCGGCUAACUCCGUGCCAGCAGCCGCGGUAAGACGGAGGAUGCAAGCGUUAUCCGGAAUGAUUGGGCGUAAAGC